This 500-nucleotide ribosomal RNA is filed under the name uncultured bacterium. RNAcentral describes it as "partial 16S ribosomal RNA". It matches the Rfam family "Bacterial small subunit ribosomal RNA", at positions 30 to 523 of the family's 1533-position model. The record is from RNAcentral.
AUUGAACGCUGGCGGAAUGCUUUACACAUGCAAGUCGAACGGCAGCACGGACUUCGGUCUGGUGGCGAGUGGCGAACGGGUGAGUAACAUAUCGGAACGUAUCCAAUAAUGGGGGAUAACGAGUCGCAAGAUUCGCUAAUACCGCAUACGCCCUACGGGGGAAAGCUGGGGACCUUUGGGCCUGGCGUUAAUGGAGCGGCCGAUAUCUGAUUAGCUAGUUGGUGAGGUAAAGGCUCACCAAGGCGACGAUCAGUAGCUGGUCUGAGAGGACGACCAGCCACACUGGAACUGAGACACGGUCCAGACUCCUACGGGAGGCAGCAGUGGGGAAUUUUGGACAAUGGGCGCAAGCCUGAUCCAGCCAUUCCGCGUGAGUGAAGAAGGCCUUCGGGUUGUAAAGCUCUUUCGCAAGGGAAGAAAACUUAGCCACUAACAUUGGUUGAGGUUGACGGUACCUUGAUAAGAAGCACCGGCUAACUACGUGCCAGCAGCCGCGGUAA